ACUCUCGUGUCAGAGUUUGAUCCUGGCUCAGGACGAACGCUGGCGGCGUGCCUAAUACAUGCAAGUCGAGCGAAGUUUUCUGGUGCUUGCACCGGAAAAACUUAGCGGCGAACGGGUGAGUAACACGUAAAGAACCUGCCUCAUAGACUGGGACAACUAUUGGAAACGAUAGCUAAUACCGGAUAACGGCAUUAACUGCAUGGUUGAUGUUUAAAAGUUGGUUUUGCUAACACUAUGAGAUGGCUUUGCGGUGCAUUAGCUAGUUGGUGGGGUAAAGGCCUACCAAGGCGACGAUGCAUAGCCGACCUGAGAGGGUGAUCGGCCACACUGGGACUGAGACACGGCCCAG
This 349-nucleotide ribosomal RNA is filed under the name uncultured bacterium. RNAcentral describes it as "bacterial SSU rRNA". It matches the Rfam family "Bacterial small subunit ribosomal RNA", at positions 1 to 334 of the family's 1533-position model. The record is from RNAcentral.